Molecule: ribosomal RNA, 491 nt
Filed under: uncultured bacterium
Lineage: Bacteria
Description: partial 16S ribosomal RNA
Rfam family: Bacterial small subunit ribosomal RNA
Source: RNAcentral
GAUGAACGCUGGCUACAGGCUUAACACAUGCAAGUCGAGGGGAAACGACGGGGAAGCUUGCUUCCCCGGGCGUCGACCGGCGCACGGGUGAGUAACGCGUAUCCAACCUGCCUCUGACUGAGGGAUAACCCGUCGAAAGUCGGCCUAAUACCUCAUGGCAUCGUCUGCGGGCAUCCAACGACGAUUAAAGAUUUCAUCGGUCAGGGAUGGGGAUGCGUCUGAUUAGCUUGUUGGCGGGGUAACGGCCCACCAAGGCUACGAUCAGUAGGGGUUCUGAGAGGAAGGUCCCCCACAUUGGAACUGAGACACGGUCCAAACUCCUACGGGAGGCAGCAGUGAGGAAUAUUGGUCAAUGGGCGGGAGCCUGAACCAGCCAAGUAGCGUGAAGGAUGACGGCCCUAUGGGUUGUAAACUGCUUUUAUGCGGGGAUAAAGUGAGGGACGUGUCCUUCAUUGCAGGUACCGCAUGAAUAAGGACCGGCUAAUUCCGUG